GAAAGCCGUGUGCAAUGAAAAAUGCAAGCACGAUUUGGGAAGGGAUUUUUCUCUAUUGUAACAAGGAAAAAUUAUCUACUCCAU
Molecule: non-coding RNA, 84 nt
Organism: Triticum aestivum (bread wheat)
Lineage: Eukaryota; Viridiplantae; Streptophyta; Magnoliopsida; Poales; Poaceae
Source: Rfam